AGAGCGAACGCUGGCGGCAGGCCUAAUACAUGCAAGUCGAACGGAUCCUUCGGGAUUAGUGGCGGACGGGUGAGUAACACGUGGGAACGUACCCUUUGGUUCGGAACAACUCAGGGAAACUUGAGCUAAUACCGAAUGUGCCCUUCGGGGAAAAGAUUUAUCGCCAUUGGAGCGGCCCGCGUCUGAUUAGCUAGUUGGUAGGGUAAAGGCCUACCAAGGCUACGAUCAGUAGCUGGUCUGAGAGGAUGAUCAGCCACACUGGGACUGAGACACGGCCCAGACUCCUACGGGAGGCAGCAGUAGGGAAUCUUGCGCAAUGGGCGAAAGCCUGACGCAGCCAUGCCGCGUGAAUGAUGAAGGUCUUAGGAUUUGUAAAAUUCUUUCAGCGGGGACGAUAAUGACGGUACCCGCAGAAGAACGCCCCGGCUAACUUCGCGCCAGCAGCCGC
This 448-nucleotide ribosomal RNA is filed under the name uncultured bacterium. RNAcentral's name for it is "SSU rRNA". It matches the Rfam family "Bacterial small subunit ribosomal RNA", at positions 26 to 518 of the family's 1533-position model. The record is from RNAcentral.